ACGGAAGGCAGCAGUGGGGAAUAUUGGGCAAUGGGCGGAAGCCUGACCCAGCAACGCCGCGUGAGGGAAGAAGGUUUUCGGAUUGUAAACCUCUGUCCUUGGUGACGAAAAGAUGACGGUAGCCAAGGAGGAAGCCCCGGCUAACUACGUGCCAGCAGCCGCGGUAAUACGUAGGGGGCGAGCGUUGUCCGGAAUGACUGGGCGUAAAGGGCGUGUAGGCGGCGCUGUAAGUCCGGAGUGAAAGUCCUGCUUUCAAGGUGGGAAUUGCUUUGGAGACUGCAGACCUUGAGUACGUAAGAGGUAAGUGGAAUUCCCGGUGUAGCGGUGAAAUGCGUAGAGAUCGGGAGGAACACCAGUGGCGAAGGCGACUUACUGGGCCGUAACUGACGCUGAGGCGCGAAAGCGUGGGGAGCGAACAGGAUUAGAUACCCUGGUA
Molecule: ribosomal RNA, 436 nt
Filed under: uncultured bacterium
Lineage: Bacteria
Description: partial 16S ribosomal RNA
Rfam family: Bacterial small subunit ribosomal RNA
Source: RNAcentral